RNAcentral lists this ribosomal RNA (478 nucleotides) under uncultured bacterium. RNAcentral describes it as "partial 16S ribosomal RNA". It matches the Rfam family "Bacterial small subunit ribosomal RNA", at positions 28 to 507 of the family's 1533-position model. The record is from RNAcentral.
GAUGAACGCUGGCGGCGUGCUUAACACAUGCAAGUCGAACGAGAAGUGAAGACGGAAACCUUCGGGCGGAAGGCUUUAUUUCGAGUGGCGGACGGGUGAGUAACGCGUGGGUAACCUGACUCAUACAGGGGGAUAACAGUUGGAAACGACUGUUAAUACCGCAUAAGACCACAGCACCGCAUGGUGCGGGGGUAAAAACUCCGGUGGUAUGAGAUGGACCCGCGUUCGAUUAGCCAGUUGGCGGGGUAACGGCCCACCAAAGCGACGAGCGAUAGCCGAUCAGUGAGGAUGACCGGCCACAUUGGGACUGAGACACGGCCCAAACUCCUACGGGAGGCAGCAGUGGGGAAUAUUGCACAAUGGGGGAAGCCCUGAUGCAGCGACGCCGCGUGAGUGAAGAAGUAUUUCGGUAUGUAAAGCUCUAUCAGCAGGGAAGAAAAUGACGGUACCUGAGUAAGAAGCCCCGGCUAACUACGUG